This is a small nuclear RNA of Hippopotamus amphibius kiboko, 103 nucleotides long. The record is from RefSeq and is a predicted model, not a curated record. Lineage: Eukaryota; Metazoa; Chordata; Mammalia; Artiodactyla; Hippopotamidae.
CUGCUUGUUUCAGCAGCACGUAUGCUAAAAUUGGAACAAUUCAGAGAGCAUGAACAUGGCCCCUGCGCAAGGCACUCAAAUUUGUGAAGCAUUCCAUAUUUUA